AAGUAAAGUCGUAACAAGGUUUCCGUAGGUGAACCUGCGGAAGAUCAUUAAAAAUUCUGCCAUUGUUUGGUGGAAACAAUAAUCAUCCUACCUUUGUGAAUUUGUUGUUUGUAAUAAUUUUUUAAAAGAAAAUUAUUACUGUCUAUCCUGGAUAGUAAAGUUGGAAGAGUAAUCUAGAAACUUUGCUUUCAGGAAUAGUAUGUAAUAAAUUUUCAUUUAAAGACCUUUUUUUUUAAUUAAACUUUUGUAUUCAUUGUCUAAAUUAUUUUAAAUAUUUAAAACAACUUUGACAAUGAUCUCUUGUUCUCGCACGAUGAAGAACGCAGCAAAUGCGAUAAGUAGUGUGAAUUGCAGAAUACGUGAAUCAUCAAUCUUCGAACGCAUAUUGCACUUUUUAGUUUACUAAAAAGUAUGUCUGUUUGAGUAUCAGUAAAUAUCUCAAUAACUUUUUGUUUAUUGUUAUGAGUGUUUUACAACGAUACAAGUUGUUUCACUUAAAUUGACUUUAUAUAACUAUCCAUUUAGGUCAUUUUUAAAAUUGGAUAAAUUUCUGUAAAAAGGAUAACUUGACAGUUUUAGAGAAAGAUCUAAAAGUUUUCUUAAAGGAAUUAUAAUAAACUAACUUGAUCUCAAUCAGAUAAGAGUACCGCUGAACUUAAGCAUAUCAUAAGCGGAGGAAAGAAACUAACAAGGAUUCCCUAUAACGGCGAGUGAAGCGGGAAGAGCUCAAAUUUGAAAUCUUCAAGGUUUCCUUGACGAAUUGUAGUUUAUAGAAGUGUUUCUGUUAGAGAGGUGGUAAAGUUCUUUGGAAUAGGACAUCAUAGAGGUGAGAAUCCCGUAUUUGAUCACUUUCUACUAACGUUGUAUACACUUUCAACGAGUCGGAUUGUUUGGAAUGCAGUCCAAAUGGUGGUAAUUUCAUCUAAAGCUAAUAUGGCGAGAGACCGAUAGCGAACAAGUACGUGAGGGAAAGAUGAAAGAACUUUGAAAGAGAGUUAAACAGUACGUGAAAUUGUCAAAGGGAAGCGUUUGACACCAGUGUUGCUUUCCGAAAUCAAUUACGAAUGGCGGAUUCUAAGUUUCAUGACCUUAAAGCUUGUUCUUUCUUUUCCGUCUUCUUAAUGCACUUUCGGUUACAAGUCAACAUCAAUUCUUUGUUGUAAAAGUUAGAGGAAGGUGCUUUACUUUCGGGUAAAGUGUUAUAGCCUUUAACUCUGCAAUCGGAGAGAUUGAGGUCUGCAGCGUAGAUCCUUCGGGCUAGAUACGUUUGUGCUAAGUUAUAGCUUUCAUAGACAACUGUGACUAUGUUUAGUCUUGUAGCUUACUCGCUGAUGCUAUUUACCUACGCUUAGGAUGUG
Molecule: unclassified non-coding RNA, 1358 nt
Filed under: uncultured Neocallimastigales
Lineage: Eukaryota; Fungi; Neocallimastigomycota; Neocallimastigomycetes; Neocallimastigales
Description: partial contains small subunit ribosomal RNA, internal transcribed spacer 1, 5.8S ribosomal RNA, internal transcribed spacer 2, and large subunit ribosomal RNA
Rfam family: Eukaryotic large subunit ribosomal RNA (bases 625-1358)
Source: RNAcentral